AGAGUUUGAUUCUGGCUCAGAACGAACGCUGGCGGCGUGGAUAAGACAUGCAAGUCGAACGGGGAAUUUUUGGAGCUUGCUUUGGAAAUUCCUAGUGGCGAACGGGUGAGUAACACGUGAGUAAUCUGCCCUGAAGUGGGGGAUAGCCUUCCGAAAGGAAGAUUAAUACCCCAUGUGAUAGUAAUAUUAAAGGCGGUCAUUUAUUUGGCUGUCGCUUCAGGAUGAGCUCGCGGCCUAUCAGCUAGUUGGUGAAGUAAUAGCUCACCAAGGCAAUGACGGGUAGCUGGUCUGAGAGGACGAUCAGUCACACUGGAACUGAGACACGGUCCAGACACCUACGGGUGGCAGCAGUCGAGAAUCAUUCGCAAUGGACGAAAGUCUGACGGUGCGACGCCGCGUGGAGGACGAAGGCCCUAGGGUCGUAAACUCCUGUCAUCAGAGAGUAAAUGCUUAGUUAGUAACUGAUCUAAGUCUUGAUAGUAUCUGAAGAGGAAGGGACGGCAAACUUCGUGCCAGCAGCCGCGGUAAUACGAAGGUCCCAAGCGUUGUUCGGAUUUACUGGGCGUAAAGCGUCUGUAGGCGGCAUGGUAAGUCAGAUGUGAAAUCCCGAGGCUCAACCUCGGAACUGCAUCCGAUACUGCCAAGCUUGAGUAUUGGAGGGGAGUCUGGAAUUCUCGGUGUAGCAGUGAAAUGCGUAGAUAUCGAGAGGAACACUAGUGGCGAAGGCGAGACUCUGGACAAUAACUGACGCUGAGAGACGAAGGCCGGGGUAGCGAAAAGGAUUAGAUACCCUUGUAGUCCCGGCAGUAAACGGUGUGCGCUUGGUGUAGGAGGAUUCGACCCCUUCUGUGCCGGAGCUAACGCGUUAAGCGCACCGCCUGGGGAGUACGGUCGCAAGAUUAAAACUCAAAGAAAUUGACGGGGACCCGCACAAGCGGUGGAGCAUGUGGCUUAAUUCGAUGCAACGCGAAGAACCUUACCUGGGCUUGACAUGUUAGUCGUAGAUUUGUGAAAGCUUAUCGUCACUUCGGGUGGACUAUCACAGGUGCUGCAUGGCUGUCGUCAGCUCGUGUCGUGAGAUGUUGGGUUAAGUC
RNAcentral lists this ribosomal RNA (1094 nucleotides) under uncultured Verrucomicrobiales bacterium. Its description in RNAcentral is "bacterial SSU rRNA". It matches the Rfam family "Bacterial small subunit ribosomal RNA", at positions 8 to 1086 of the family's 1533-position model. Lineage: Bacteria; Pseudomonadati; Verrucomicrobiota; Verrucomicrobiia; Verrucomicrobiales. The record is from RNAcentral.